AAGUCGUAACAAGGUUUCCGUAGGUGAACCUGCGGAAGGAUCAUUAUCGAGUUAGGGACGUCAUGUCCCGAACCUCCAACCCUUGUGUUAAACUAUACCACGUUGCUUCGGCGGGUCCGCCUUCAUCGGCCGCCGGGCUGCUUUGGCAGUCUGGUCCGUUGCCGUCGAUGCCAUUACAAAGUCAUCUUGUUUAAAUCCGUACGUCGUCUGAGUACAUAAAAAAUUUAAAACAAAA
Molecule: unclassified non-coding RNA, 235 nt
Filed under: plant metagenome
Description: partial contains small subunit ribosomal RNA and internal transcribed spacer 1
Rfam family: Eukaryotic small subunit ribosomal RNA (bases 1-46)
Source: RNAcentral